RNAcentral lists this ribosomal RNA (1250 nucleotides) under Pseudoalteromonas rubra. RNAcentral describes it as "bacterial LSU rRNA". It matches the Rfam family "Bacterial large subunit ribosomal RNA", at positions 1711 to 2925 of the family's 2925-position model. The record is from RNAcentral. Lineage: Bacteria; Pseudomonadati; Pseudomonadota; Gammaproteobacteria; Alteromonadales; Pseudoalteromonadaceae.
AACUAGGCAAAAUUGUACCGUAACUUCGGGAGAAGGUACGCUCUUACUUGUGAAGACUUCGCGUCGUAAGCAGGUGAGAGCCGCAGUGACCAGGUGGCUGGGACUGUUUAUUAAAAACACAGCACUGUGCAAAAUCGUAAGAUGACGUAUACGGUGUGACACCUGCCCGGUGCCGGAAGGUUAAUUGAUGGGUUAGCUUAGGCGAAGCUCUUGAUCGAAGCCCGGUAAACGGCGGCCGUAACUAUAACGGUCCUAAGGUAGCGAAAUUCCUUGUCGGGUAAGUUCCGACCUGCACGAAUGGUGUAACCAUGGCCACGCUGUCUCCACCCGAGACUCAGUGAAAUUGAAAUCGCAGUGAAGAUGCUGUGUACCCGCGGCUAGACGGAAAGACCCCGUGAACCUUUACUACAGCUUGGCACUGAACAUUGACCCUACAUGUGUAGGAUAGGUGGGAGGCUUUGAAGCGCAGUCGCUAGAUUGCGUGGAGCCGUCCUUGAAAUACCACCCUUGUAGUGUUGAUGUUCUAACUUAGGUCCCUAAUCGGGAUUGAGGACAGUGCCUGGUGGGUAGUUUGACUGGGGCGGUCUCCUCCCAAAGAGUAACGGAGGAGCACGAAGGUUGGCUAAGUACGGUCGGACAUCGUACGGUUAGUGUAAUGGUAGAAGCCAGCUUAACUGCGAGACAGACACGUCGAGCAGGUACGAAAGUAGGUCAUAGUGAUCCGGUGGUUCUGAAUGGAAGGGCCAUCGCUCAACGGAUAAAAGGUACUCCGGGGAUAACAGGCUGAUACCGCCCAAGAGUUCAUAUCGACGGCGGUGUUUGGCACCUCGAUGUCGGCUCAUCACAUCCUGGGGCUGAAGUCGGUCCCAAGGGUAUGGCUGUUCGCCAUUUAAAGUGGUACGCGAGCUGGGUUUAGAACGUCGUGAGACAGUUCGGUCCCUAUCUGCCGUGGGCGUUUGAGAAUUGAGAGGGGCUGCUCCUAGUACGAGAGGACCGGAGUGGACGAACCGCUGGUGUUCGGGUUGUCAUGCCAAUGGCAUUGCCCGGUAGCUACGUUCGGAAUCGAUAACCGCUGAAAGCAUCUAAGCGGGAAGCGAGCCUCGAGAUGAGUUCUCACUUUAACUUUAAGUUAACUGAAGGGCCGUUGAAGACUACAACGUUGAUAGGCGAGAUGUGGAAGUGGUGUGAGCCAUUGAGCUAACUCGUACUAAUUACCCGUGAGGCUUAACCAUACAACGCCAAAGUGGUUU